UUGCAAAGGAGAAAGACAGUUUAAGAAAAGGUCACCUUCGAUGCUUGUGGCUUAUAUGCAAAAAGUCAGAUACAUUGACAAAAGUAUCAUGUUUACUUGAGCCGCCUCACUCACUUAGUAAAAACUGGUUUCUCAAAAGCCACUCAAAGGAACAUUGUGUCAAAAGAUGCUCUCAAAGAUUCCUUGAAAGAUGAAAAGUUCCCAAAUUUGUCUACAACCAAGACAAUCAGUAGCUUCUCAAGAUGACUCAAGUGUGGUCAGAAGAAGAGCCCUCUCUGGCAUAAAGGUCUAUGCAAAACAGUUAAAGUCUUUCGAUUUUAGGCCCAGCUAUUGCAGAAAGUUUAAAGAAUGGGAGUGACCCUG
Molecule: long non-coding RNA, 363 nt
Organism: Zingiber officinale
Lineage: Eukaryota; Viridiplantae; Streptophyta; Magnoliopsida; Zingiberales; Zingiberaceae
Exons: 6
Source: RefSeq, a predicted model, not a curated record